Molecule: non-coding RNA, 96 nt
Organism: Geosporobacter subterraneus DSM 17957
Lineage: Bacteria; Bacillati; Bacillota; Clostridia; Peptostreptococcales; Thermotaleaceae
Source: Rfam
AGUUUAGUUUUCUAGGGUUCCGCAGUUUAUAACUGGCUGGUCCGAGAGAAGACGCACAGAUAACUGUGUACACGGAAGGAUAAAAGCCUGGGAGAU